RNAcentral lists this ribosomal RNA (1742 nucleotides) under Campylobacter coli. RNAcentral's name for it is "partial 23S ribosomal RNA". It matches the Rfam family "Bacterial large subunit ribosomal RNA", at positions 1 to 1761 of the family's 2925-position model. The record is from RNAcentral. Lineage: Bacteria; Pseudomonadati; Campylobacterota; Epsilonproteobacteria; Campylobacterales; Campylobacteraceae.
AGGUAAGCUACUAAGAGCGAAUGGUGGAUGCCUUGACUGGUAAAGGCGAUGAAGGACGUACUAGACUGCGAUAAGCUACGGGGAGCUGUCAAGAAGCUUUGAUCCGUAGAUUUCCGAAUGGGGCAACCCAAUGUAUAGAGAUAUACAUUACCUAUAUAGGAGCGAACGAGGGGAAUUGAAACAUCUUAGUACCCUCAGGAAAAGAAAUCAAUAGAGAUUGCGUCAGUAGCGGCGAGCGAAAGCGCAAGAGGGCAAACCCAGUGCUUGCACUGGGGGUUGUAGGACUGCAAUGUGCAAGAGGUGAGUUUAGCAGAACAUUCUGGAAAGUAUAGCCAUAGAGGGUGAUAGUCCCGUAUGCGAAAAACAAACCUUAGCUAGCAGUAUCCUGAGUAGGGCGGGACACGAGGAAUCCUGUCUGAAUCCGGGUCGACCACGAUCCAACCCUAAAUACUAAUACCAGAUCGAUAGUGCACAAGUACCGUGAGGGAAAGGUGAAAAGAACUGAGGUGAUCAGAGUGAAAUAGAACCUGAAACCAUUUGCUUACAAUCAUUCAGAGCCCUAUGUAGCAAUACAGGGUGAUGGACUGCCUUUUGCAUAAUGAGCCUGCGAGUUGUGGUGUCUGGCAAGGUUAAGCAAACGCGAAGCCGUAGCGAAAGCGAGUCUGAAUAGGGCGCUUAGUCAGAUGCUGCAGACCCGAAACGAAGUGAUCUAUCCAUGAGCAAGUUGAAGCUAGUGUAAGAACUAGUGGAGGACUGAACCCAUAGGCGUUGAAAAGCCCCGGGAUGACUUGUGGAUAGGGGUGAAAGGCCAAUCAAACUUCGUGAUAGCUGGUUCUCUCCGAAAUAUAUUUAGGUAUAGCGUUGUGUCGUAAUAUAAGGGGGUAGAGCACUGAAUGGGCUAGGGCAUACACCAAUGUACCAAACCCUAUCAAACUCCGAAUACCUUAUAUGUAAUCACAGCAGUCAGGCGGCGAGUGAUAAAAUCCGUCGUCAAGAGGGAAACAACCCAGACUACCAGCUAAGGUCCCUAAAUCUUACUUAAGUGGAAAACGAUGUGAAGUUACUUAAACAACCAGGAGGUUGGCUUAGAAGCAGCCAUCCUUUAAAGAAAGCGUAAUAGCUCACUGGUCUAGUGAUUUUGCGCGGAAAAUAUAACGGGGCUAAAGUAAGUACCGAAGCUGUAGACUUAGUUUACUAAGUGGUAGGAGAGCGUUCUAUUUGCGUCGAAGGUAUACCGGUAAGGAGUGCUGGAGCGAAUAGAAGUGAGCAUGCAGGCAUGAGUAGCGAUAAUUAAUGUGAGAAUCAUUAACGCCGUAAACCCAAGGUUUCCUACGCGAUGCUCGUCAUCGUAGGGUUAGUCGGGUCCUAAGUCGAGUCCGAAAGGGGUAGACGAUGGCAAAUUGGUUAAUAUUCCAAUACCAACAUUAGUGUGCGAUGGAAGGACGCUUAGGGCUAAGGGGGCUAGCGGAUGGAAGUGCUAGUCUAAGGUCGUAGGAGGUUAUACAGGCAAAUCCGUAUAACAAUACUCCGAGAACUGAAAGGCUUUUUGAAGUCUUCGGAUGGAUAGAAGAACCCCUGAUGCCGUCGAGCCAAGAAAAGUUUCUAAGUUUAGCUAAUGUUGCCCGUACCGUAAACCGACACAGGUGGGUGGGAUGAGUAUUCUAAGGCGCGUGGAAGAACUCUCUUUAAGGAACUCUGCAAAAUAGCACCGUAUCUUCGGUAUAAGGUGUGGUUAGCUUUGU